UACGUAGGGCGCAAGCGUUAUCCGGAAUUACUGGGCGUAAAGCGUGCGCAGGCGGUGAUGUAAGACAGAUGUGAAAUCCCCGGGCUCAACCUGGGAACUGCAUUUGUGACUGCAUCGCUGGAGUACGGCAGAGGGGGAUGGAAUUCCGCGUGUAGCAGUGAAAUGCGUAGAUAUGCGGAGGAACACCGAUGGCGAAGGCAAUCCCCUGGGCCUGUACUGACGCUCAUGCACGAAAGCGUGGGGAGCAAACAGG
Molecule: ribosomal RNA, 253 nt
Filed under: uncultured bacterium
Lineage: Bacteria
Description: partial 16S ribosomal RNA
Rfam family: Bacterial small subunit ribosomal RNA
Source: RNAcentral